AUGGCCAAACCCAAUCCAUAUUUCAUGUUACUGGAAAUAAAUAAACAAAGAAAAGGGAUAAGAGAUAUUAAUAAAAACGACGCGUUUGGCAUGUGUCGAUUCGUCUUUGUUCGAAACCAUCUCAGACUCUACCCUCUCGUCCUGAACUCUCUCUUCUCACCAUUCGAACGGAAAGCGCCGCCGCGCCGGACAUGA
Vicia faba (fava bean) is the source of this 195-nucleotide non-coding RNA. The record is from the annotation of a GenBank genome assembly. Lineage: Eukaryota; Viridiplantae; Streptophyta; Magnoliopsida; Fabales; Fabaceae.